AUACGGAGGGUACGAACGUUAUUCGGAAUUAUUGGGCGUAAAGGGCGCGUAGGCGGCCUGACAAGUCAAAGGUGAAAUCCCUCGGCCUAACCGAGGAACUGCCUUUGAAACUGCCAGGCUUGAGGCCGGGAGAGGGUAGUGGAAUUCCCAGUGUAGCGGUGAAAUGCGUAGAUAUUGGGAGGAACACCAGUGGCGAAGGCGACUACCUGGACCGGUACUGACGCUGAGGCGCGAAAGCGUGGGGAGCAAACAGGAUUAGACACCCCAGUAGUCC
RNAcentral lists this ribosomal RNA (274 nucleotides) under uncultured bacterium. RNAcentral's name for it is "partial 16S ribosomal RNA". It matches the Rfam family "Bacterial small subunit ribosomal RNA", at positions 523 to 796 of the family's 1533-position model. The record is from RNAcentral.